Molecule: long non-coding RNA, 6025 nt
Filed under: Ooceraea biroi (clonal raider ant)
Lineage: Eukaryota; Metazoa; Arthropoda; Insecta; Hymenoptera; Formicidae
Description: uncharacterized LOC105276291, transcript variant X2
Source: RNAcentral
AAUCUAUAUCCAAUUAUCAAUCCUUAAUAGAUGUCUGAAGAAUUUACGAUAUCCUCGCGAAAUUGAUUAUUCAAAGCAGUGGCGCGAGGGAUGCCUCUUCGUGACCUUUGACCGGAUGCUUAUUAAUGCUCAAUUCUCAGGGUACUGCUAGUCGAAUGCAUUGUCCACGCGCGGCACUCUACGAAAAUCCUUUAUCCUCAAAUCGCCGGAGAUAAUUUGGCUGGUGUAGACACGGCAAAUAUCUGUACAAGAGAUCGGAAUAAGGGUUGGCGUGCCGGUGAUGGUGAUAGCGGGCAGGGGGUGGCGCGAGGGGAGGGUCGGCGCGCGUGGAAAGUCUAUGUAGGUUAUAGGGGGACGGGAUCACUAAUAUAGGAGAUGUUUGCGAACCUGUUAAUAAUGCCGCGUUUGCUCGCCGGGUUAUUAGUGAUAGCAAACACUUAAAUUGUUCUACCCGUGGAUUAGUAAUAGGCGCAGCUGCAAAACUUCAGUUGGCUCCGGUUGCGCGCGCGAGCUUUUCUCGAUGGCGAACGCCUUGUUUCGCCGAGGAUCAAGACUCUCGUAAGCAAGUCGCUCGUGCGAAAUACCUUGCAAAUUCGUUUAAACGAUCGUUUCUAAAACGUCGCGGGAGCAGUUGCUUCAUGAUUAUUACCUUCACCGCUUAAUCGCGACAGUUACGCUAUAAUUGCAUCCAAAUGUUAUAGUCUAUGUUGCGCAUUAAGAAUUAUAAUAUUUAACUUUUUCCAGAAUACGCGAUGUAAGAGAAUAUCUUAAAGAUCUUAUACCGAAAAAGUACAUCUUGAAUAUUUAAAUAAAAUUUAUGGAUAUUUAUAUAUCUCCGAAUUUAUAUUAUCAAAAAAUAAACGAUAAAAAAGCAGCUGAUAAAACGACUUUUCCUUCACAUCAAUUUAUUCGGCUGCCGCGAUCGAAUUUCGAUAAGUCGCGUGUUUGUCGAGGUAUCGCCUGAGCCGCGAUACGAUCUCACUCUCGUAUAGCGUACAGGGCGCGGCUCGGUAUAUUCUCCGGUAACAGCUCUUCCUGUAAAAGCCCUUUCCAGGGCGCGAGCAGUGCCGGCGUGCGCGCGGCGUUAUAUCCCCUAGGAUCCGCCUUGAACACAUCCAGCGAAAACCAAACUGGUUUAGCUUUAAGCACGUUAGGUACCCCUUUAAUAGCUUAUAGGUAAACAAAAUUAACAUAUCUUAACAGCGUUAAGAAUUUCCGCGCACCGCGCCCCACCGCUGCGCAGCCUCGGGCAGACGACGGGGCUAAAGGGGUAAGUUUGUUAAGUAGCGACGAGCGCGAAACCGCCACGAGGAACGAUGCCGAAGACACGCGAUACCGAAGAUACGCGAUCCCCGGCACGUCGUCUCACAUUUUCCCGGAUGCGCCGGAUUAUGAUAGCCACGGGGCGGGUCGAUCUCAUCCGGAUCACGUGGAUCCUCCUCAAGAGUUUCGAGCGCAGUUAUCUCACGCUAAAAGCUCCGGACGGCUCAAUAAUUAUAUCUCGGAACGCGUUCUCAGCUCCACUCUAUUCUUAAUUUCACCUUCACCGAUCGGGACCAUUUGACAUGGCUCCAAAUCGCGUUUAUUCUCGGCGCAAUAAGUAAUAACACGGCUGAAUGCAUUGUCAUCGCUCUCUCUGUCACGGCGGGAUGCAGCCGCAUUACUCGUCGUCGGAUCAAACUGUGCUGGGCUAAUCCGUCGCGGGGCAAUCGCUAUACAGCGAAAAUUUAUGUAAGAUAUCUGCGCUACGAGAAUAGAGAGGAGGUUUCAUAAAGCGGGAGCGCGCUGCGCGGAUAUUUCAAGUUAACUUGAACAAUAUUGAUUCAGAACGGAAUGCGAAGGCGAAACGCGAUGACGGAUGAAUAUGCGCCGUGCGAUGCCGCGACAAAAUAUUUAUUCGCGACGGUACACGAUUUCGGAACAUAUUUUGGCAUCCGUUCGCACUUUCGUGUUGCUCAACGGUCAUAAAUACAUAAUGAGGAUCCUUUGUUUUAACGUAGUCGGGACGCGACGUGAUAGACGUGCCCGCCACCGAGCAUCGCGAGCAUCGCAUUUUGGCAUCGGCCAGCAAUAUAUCACCAUGAUUCAGCCAUCAGAACAGGAUCAGUCGCGCGAACCGCGAAUCCCACCGUGAAUUCCCUGUUGUCCGUGGCGGAACGUUACGAAAUAUCCGCGCGAGAAAGCCCACGCGGGAGGAUUGGCGUGCUGACAAUCGCCGGCGCGGUAUAAUUCGUCGGCCCGGCUCGAGUCGAACAUCGUUACAUUAAUAUUCUGGCAGCGCGUCGUCCUCCACGACGGUUACUUCACGGUGAUUUUAAUUUUUGCACAGUCUUUGUAAUGGCCGGCGUGCUCCGCGCCGAUCUUACGGAUUUCGCCACAAAAAUCGCGAAACCACGAGAAAAAAAAGAAAGCCGCCUUUGAUCGUUGCGCACGAUGCGAGCGCUUGUGAGAAUGUCGCGUUCCCGCUUGGACUGAGGCCGCGCAAGGAUCCUUCUGUCGAAAUUUACAUCGAACGUAAGUCCAGCUGAGAAAAAAUACUGUGACUCAUCAGCGCACGAGCGUGAGAAUGUAUGAGACGUAAAUUUAAAAUUAUUCCGUGAUCCGGAAUACAGGGCAGACGUUAGCGCCCACGAGAGGCGAAAAGAAGGAAAUGGCGAAACGAACGACGAAAGCGGGGCGAGAACUUGCGAGGGAGGAGGGAGGCAUUAAAACGAAGAAAGAAGAAGAAUCAAUGGUCCCGCAACGACGGCUGCAAAAGGCUUCGAGCCGAAGAGACACAAAUGCAUCGCGCUGAAAUACUCAACGACAGCGCAUUCACGGCGGGUCGUUACGGUUCUACUGGCUGAUCCACGCUAUCGAGUGUGCGUAUCUGCGUGGGAUGUGUGUGGGGUGCACUGUUCUCUGACAGCGUGUCCGGGGCGACACGUCGACUACCAAAAAUCACGGAAAACCAGAGCGGAGCGACCGUAAACGAGGCGUGCUACAUGCUUUGCACCCCAAAAGUCGCGAGGAAGAAUGCGAUUCUAUCAACAACGAGUGACUCGAUAAAUAACGACAAAUGCUGGUCGAUUAAUUUAAAUUUAUAGUCGACUAAAUUGCGAUUCGCUUCUUAUGGUGCGCGUCACGGUAUACGAAAACCGCGCGGAAUACAUCGGAAGUUCGUUGAAACUCGAUAGCUUCGACUGGACGGGAAUGCCGUACGAAUAAUGACGGGCAAGAGUGCGCUCGAUUACUAUCGAGAGUAUGUAUUUUGAGUCCCGUGAGUCAUGAGCGAUGACGGUGUGUCGUCGUCGUCGUUGUCGGCUGUACACUCGUGUGGCUCGCGUAGAGUCAAUGCCAGAAAUAAUAUCGGUAUACUCGUACUCGCACAUAGAGGCGGGGGUGAUGUCCUAACAUCAUCGGUUAACGAACUAUAUUUAUCCGCGCGGCGGGUUCAUCCACGGCGGCUUCUUUCUCCUUUCCUUCCGUCGCGCCCUCUCCACCCCUCCUGCCACUCCGUUACCGUUCUCCACGUUCCUCCGCCGCGUCUCGUCCGCAUCCCUCAACUUGCUCUUGUUCCUCUCGCGGUCUCGUCCCCUUUCUCCUCAUGAUCCUCUGCUUCUUUGUGACAGACAAGAAUUCGAGAUACACGAAAUCCGCACUUUCCAAAUUGGCGCAUUCACAACCUUUCGGGCCCCCGGAAUUAUUCAUGAGCCCGCUGAAAAGCCAGGCCGCGACGAGUCGCGAUGGUAUUAAGAUGUCGUAUGUAUUUGUUGAGAUAUUCGUGGUGUUCGCGAGACGUUGCUGCACGUCGCUAAAACUCGCGUGUGCAACCUUGUGCGCCGGAAUUAAUUCCGAGUCCACUGGAAAGCCGGCUCCGCCGGGCGAUUAUUUUGAAACGCGCCGCGCUGCGUUGCGACGCGUUAAAGAAAGCGCGCCGCGCGAAUUCCAUAUUCGCGAAUAAUACCUCGGGCAAGACUUCGGAACGCGGCGUUACGCGACGCGCCGAUAAUUAUCGACACUCUGGUGCAUGGCAUUUCCAUACGUGAUAAAUGGUACGAUACAGUAAAUUCGGAAUCCAGCGAUUCGAUAUUCGAUACCCUAUCGUAGCACGAAAUAAAAAGUACGCGACGUGUUACUUUCACGGGUACCUUUUGCAGUUCGAUCGUGAAAGUUCAUGGUUUUCACACGAAAAAUUGGGAAUGCCCGCGGCGCGUUAUCGCCCUCUCGAACGCGCUCGCACUUUUGCAAAUGACCCGAUACCUCUCGCUCGAUACCAAGUCGAGACAGAUGUGGACGCAAGCGGAGCUAGCUAGGGAAAGUAAAAGCUGAGAGACGAACUACCUGGUGCACCACAUGCAUCACGUGUAUAUCUUAAUCACUACAAUUACCGGUUUGAUGCUUGAUUUACGUGUUACCGAUAACAGGAACAAAGAGAAAUCGCGGAACCCCCAGGGUUACGAAGGCAUAACUCUCAAAUUAUCGUGGAGCGUUCUCCCGACCUAUGUUGCUACGUUCUCGAUUCAAACUCGAAAGAUCGCAGGUAGUCGAUCAAUUUGUGGGAAACAAAAAAUGACGAAGAAAAGAAAUUCGAAAAAUGAACGCGGCGUGUAUGUAUUUGUUAUCCCUCGAUCACUAAAGAGCCCCAGAUAAAUACACAGCCCCCUGCCAUCCUGGGCCUGACUAGAGGAAGGGGGGGAAGGGGGGAUUAUACGGGGGCCGGUGAUAAACAGUGUCGCUCAUUCACAAUGGCCGGCAAACACGCAUUAAAGCGGACUAAUAUGAAGUGUAUUAAUGCACGCGGCAUUGUCUAACCCACGGCGUACACGGCUACUGUCGUGAGGCCCCGGCUUUAUCCCGCCGUGGGGGGCCCGGCGGUGCCCGCGCGCAUGCAUACGGGGCCCCUGCGAUAUACUCGGUGACUUUUUAAGGAGCCCCGCGACGCGAUGCCGGGUGGGAGGUAUUUACUUAUCAUUAUGCGGAUUUUAUUACCGGAACGCGACGACCGUUCCUCCGAAGAGGCGUUACAAAUGCGUUUCGCGGCUUCGAAUCUGUAAUCCGCGCGAGAGUGCCCCUGCGAGUAUCCUUUUUGUAUCGUGGCGAAGAUCCGAUAGCGAUCGGGAGCUUUUAUUAGCUUUCUCCCCCGCCGAUCUAAUCGCGUUUCGAGCGUAUAUAGUGAACGGGAUAAGUGCGGCGAAGGCGAGUGCGAGCAAGCGAGCGAGUGAUACAUGGAUCCGAGGAGGAAUGCGAAGGAACUCUCUAUGGUCCUCGCCGGCACAUUAUGCGAGUGCGACGAUUGCCGCGGCGCUUAUUUAUGCGAUUUAGCAUUGUGGCCACAAUGCUAAAUAAGCUGCAACGGUUAGCGGCAUAUACGGCAUUCGAAGCACGAGUUUCGUAAACGUUAAUUUCCUCCUACUGUCACAUGUUGGAGCAUUGAUGUUAAUUUUUCAACGAUAAUUCCCGGCGAAGAUAGAUCGGGCAAUAUUUUUCUCUCGGGAACUGUAUGCGCGCCGCGUGCACGUCGGUGCGAAUGAAAAGGCAUCUGAAAGACUGUUCAAGCGUAAAAACGUGACGCACACCCCGUAUGAGACCAAUCGCAGGGUGCUGCAAGCUAGUUCUGCCCACCGGUCUAAAUUAUGGGGUCGCCGGCUAGCUCGCGCCACGCAUAAAUGAUUGCUCGUGUUAUGUUAAACAUCCGGGCAUGGAGAGCUGCCCCGAGAGCUCACCCACGAGACACCCGAUGGAGGUGGACGAGGAGCGGUUGGAUAAAAGAGGAAGAGGUGGAGGCGAAAGUUAUUUAUCUCGAGCAGUCGCAUGAGCAAGGAUUUUGAAUAAUUCCUACCGGUGGAAGAGACGGUGAAUGUUGCCCCGUAGGACACGUCAAGUUAUCCAUAAAUACUCCUUAAACUCCGACAACAUUUUUAAACUGCGCGUUCGCACAAAAACUCACGAUAUGAUCCUUAGCAAUUUCAAUUUCAAUUUCAUGUAAUCAUUGUAACAAUAGUAACGUUCAUUAAUAAAGAGUACAGCGUAUCUUGAAAAAAUA